Molecule: transfer RNA, 99 nt
Filed under: Xylariaceae sp. FL0016
Lineage: Eukaryota; Fungi; Ascomycota; Sordariomycetes; Xylariales; Xylariaceae
Description: tRNA-Leu
Rfam family: tRNA
About the family: Transfer RNA (tRNA) molecules are approximately 80 nucleotides in length. Their secondary structure includes four short double-helical elements and three loops (D, anti-codon, and T loops). Further hydrogen bonds mediate the characteristic L-shaped molecular structure. tRNAs have two regions of fundamental functional importance: the anti-codon, which is responsible for specific mRNA codon recognition, and the 3' end, to which the tRNAs corresponding amino acid is attached (by aminoacyl-tRNA synthetases). tRNAs cope with the degeneracy of the genetic code in two manners: having more than one tRNA (with a specific anti-codon) for a particular amino acid; and 'wobble' base-pairing, i.e. permitting non-standard base-pairing at the 3rd anti-codon position.
Source: RNAcentral
GGUGAGAUGGCCGAGUUGGUUAUGGCGUCAGGUUAAGGUCACCUUAACACCUGCUUCCUGGUGGAGAAAUCCGCGUGGGUUCGAGUCCCACUCUCAUCA